CCGGAGAGAUCUACUUUUUACCUUAGUGUCUUGACUAAUUCUUUUGUUUGUUGCAUCCCUUCUGGGGGUAAAAUUUUUUGUGUCUCACCCCUCAGCCCUUUUGCCUAAAAAUGCAUACGUGAUUAACUAACUGCCCCUUGAGGAGUUUUUCAGUGUUAGAAGUUUCUAAACUCUUUGUCAUCAGAUUUUGAUCUGUUCUAUUUUUCAUAGCUACAUUAUUAAGUGAAAAUAAUAUCUUUAAAGUACUUAAGGUGCCCAAGAAAGCUGUCCCACAGGAAAAAAAGCCUGUUGCUGAACCCAAAAAGCACGAAUUAUUACCAGGCAAAGUGCCCAAGGUGCCCAAGAAAGUUGCUCUGGAAGAGCCCACGCCCGUAGCUGUGCCAAAAAAGCCAGAACCAGCACCAGCCCAAGCACCUGAAGUGCCCAGGAAGGCUACUAGAGAAGAAAAAGUACCUGUGGUCACUGCCAAAGCACCUGAGCUUCCAGCAGCCAGAGUGCCUGUGAUGCCGGAGGUGGAGGUCCCAGAAGAGGAAGAGGAGGGAGGAAGCACCAGAGAGGCAGUACCUGCUGCAGAGCUUGAAGAGCCAGAAGCUGCUCCAGCUGAAGUGCUGAGGUUGUUGAGGA
This is a non-coding RNA of Coturnix japonica (Japanese quail), 624 nucleotides long. The record is from RefSeq and is a predicted model, not a curated record. Lineage: Eukaryota; Metazoa; Chordata; Aves; Galliformes; Phasianidae.